ACGAACGCUGGCGGCAUGCCUAACACAUGCAAGUCGAACGAGACCUUCGGGUCUAGUGGCGCACGUGUGCGUCACGCGUGGGAACCUGCCCUUAGGUUCGUAAUAACUCCCCGAAAGGGGUGCUAAUACCGGAUAAUGUCUUCGGACCAAAGAUUUAUCGCCUUUGGAUGGGCCCGCGUUGGAUUAGCUAGUUGGUAGGGUAAAAGCCUACCAAGGCGACGAUCCAUAGCUGGUCUGAGAGGAUGAUCAGCAACACUGGGACUGAGACACGGCCCAGACUCCUACGGGAGGAAGCAGUGGGGAAUAUUGGACAAUGGGCGAAAGCAUGAUCCAGCAAUGCCGCGUGAGUGAUGAAGGCCUUAGGGUUGUAAAGCUCUUUUACCCGGGAUGAUAAUGACAGUACCGGGAGAAUAAGCUCCGGCUAACUCCGUG
RNAcentral lists this ribosomal RNA (432 nucleotides) under uncultured bacterium. RNAcentral's name for it is "partial 16S ribosomal RNA". It matches the Rfam family "Bacterial small subunit ribosomal RNA", at positions 29 to 507 of the family's 1533-position model. The record is from RNAcentral.